UACGUAGGGGGCAAGCGUUGUCCGGAUUUAUUGGGCGUAAAGAGCGUGUAGGCGGCCUGCCAAGUCUGCUGUGAAAACUCGAGGCUCAACCUCGAGAUGUCGGCGGAAACUGUCUGGCUAGAGUCCGGAAGAGGAGAGUGGAAUUCCUGGUGUAGCGGUGAAAUGCGCAGAUAUCAGGAAGAACACCGAUGGCGAAGGCAGCUCUCUGGGACGGUACUGACGCUGAGACGCGAAAGCGUGGGGAGCGAACAGG
RNAcentral lists this ribosomal RNA (253 nucleotides) under uncultured bacterium. RNAcentral's name for it is "partial 16S ribosomal RNA". It matches the Rfam family "Bacterial small subunit ribosomal RNA", at positions 524 to 776 of the family's 1533-position model. The record is from RNAcentral.